GGUGGAUGCGUGGGACCUGAUCUGGUAGUAGCCAAGCGAUGGGGUGACGCAGGAAGGUAGCUGGGCCAGUCAGUGGUUGUACUGGUGUAAGCCUGUAGGGCGAACGGUAGGCAAAUCCGCCGUUCACACAGCCUGAGAGGUGAUGCGUAGCCGAUUGAGGCGAAUUCAGUGAUCCUAUGCUGCCGAGAAAAGCCUCUAGUGAGUUGUUACACGGCCCGUACCCCAAACCGACACAGGUGGUCAGGUAGAGAAUACUAAGGCGAUCGAGAUAACUAUGGUUAAGGAACUCGGCAAAAUGCCCCCGUAACUUCGGGAGAAGGGGGGCCCCUGCCGGUGAUGGAACUUGCUUCCUGAGCUGGUGUGGGCCGCAGAGACCAGUGAGAAGCGACUGUUUACUAAAAACACAGGUCCGUGCGAAGUCGUAAGACGAUGUAUACGGACUGACGCCUGCCCGGUGCUGGAAGGUUAAGAGGACCGGUUAGCCAGCAAUGGCGAAGCUGAGAAUUUAAGCCCCAGUAAACGGCGGUGGUAACUAUAACCAUCCUAAGGUAGCGAAAUUCCUUGUCGGGUAAGUUCCGACCUGCACGAAUGGCGUAACGACUUCUCAGCUGUCUCAACCAUAGACUCGGCGAAAUUGCAUUACGAGUAAAGAUGCUCGUUACGCGCGGCAGGACGAAAAGACCCCGGGACCUUCACUACAGCUUGGUAUUGGUGUUCGGUUCGGUUUGUGUAGGAUAGGUGGGAGACUGUGAAGCGGUGACGCCAGUUACUGUGGAGUCGUUGUUGAAAUACCACUCUGAUCGUAUUGGAUACCUCAACCUCGGACCAUGAUCUGGUUCAGGGACAGUGCCUGGUGGGUAGUUUAACUGGGGCGGUUGCCUCCUAAAAUGUAACGGAGGCGCCCAAAGGUUCCCUCAGCCUGGUUGGCAAUCAGGUGUCGAGUGCAAGUGCACAAGGGAGCUUGACUGUGAGACUGACAAGUCGAGCAGGGACGAAAGUCGGGACUAGUGAUCCGGCACCGGCAAGUGGAAGCGGUGUCGCUCAACGGAUAAAAGGUACCCCGGGGAUAACAGGCUGAUCUUCCCCAAGAGUCCAUAUCGACGGGAUGGUUUGGCACCUCGAUGUCGGCUCGUCGCAUCCUGGGGCUGGAGUAGGUCCCAAGGGUUGGGCUGUUCGCCCAUUAAAGCGGCACGCGAGCUGGGUUUAGAACGUCGUGAGACAGUUCGGUCUCUAUCCGCCGCGCGCGUAAGAAACUUGAGGAAGGCUGUCCCUAGUACGAGAGGACCGGGACGGACGAACCUCUGGUGUGCCAGUUGUUCCACCAGGAGCACCGCUGGUUGGCUACGUUCGGAAGGGAUAACCGCUGAAAGCAUCUAAGCGGGAAGCCUGUUCCAAGAUGAGGUUUCUCACCCCCUCGAGGGGGUAAGGCCCCCGGCAGACCACCGGGUUGAUAGGCCAGAACUGGAAGUACAGCAAUGUAUGCAGGUGACUGGUACUAAUAGGCCGAGGACUUACCACG
Molecule: ribosomal RNA, 1519 nt
Filed under: Rhodococcoides fascians A25f
Lineage: Bacteria; Bacillati; Actinomycetota; Actinomycetes; Mycobacteriales; Nocardiaceae
Description: bacterial LSU rRNA
Rfam family: Bacterial large subunit ribosomal RNA
Source: RNAcentral